AACCUCCGCAAUGUGAGAAAUCGCGACGGGGGGAUCCCAAGUGCCAUUCUUAACGGGAUGGCUUUUCUUAAGUGUAAAAAGCUUUUGGAAUAAGAGCUGGGCAAGACCGGUGCCAGCCGCCGCGGUAACACCGGCAGCUCUAGUGGUAGCUGUUUUUAUUGGGCCUAAAGCGUUCGUAGCCGGUUUGAUAAGUCACUGGUGAAAUCCUGUAGCUUAACUGUGGGAAUUGCUGGUGAUACUGUUGAACUUGAGGUCGGGAGAGGUUAGCGGUACUCCCAGGGUAGAGGUGAAAUUCUGUAAUCCUGGGAGGACCACCUGUGGCGAAGGCGGCUAACUGGAACGAACCUGACGGUGAGGGACGAAAGCUAGGGGCGCGAACCGGAUUAGAUACCCGGGUAGUCCUAGCCGUAAACGAUGCGGACUUGGUGUUGGGAUGGGCUUUGAGCCGCUCCGGUGCCGAAGGGAAGCUGUUAAGUCCGCCGCCUGGGAGUACGGUCGCAGACUGAACUUAAGGAUU
This 517-nucleotide ribosomal RNA is filed under the name uncultured bacterium. RNAcentral describes it as "bacterial SSU rRNA". It matches the Rfam family "Archaeal small subunit ribosomal RNA", at positions 345 to 865 of the family's 1478-position model. The record is from RNAcentral.